RNAcentral lists this ribosomal RNA (480 nucleotides) under uncultured bacterium. RNAcentral describes it as "bacterial SSU rRNA". It matches the Rfam family "Bacterial small subunit ribosomal RNA", at positions 28 to 507 of the family's 1533-position model. The record is from RNAcentral.
GACGAACGCUGGCGGCGUGCCUAACACAUGCAAGUCGAACGGAACUUUUUGAAAGAUUUCUUCGGAAUGAAUUUGACUAAGUUUAGUGGCGGACGGGUGAGUAACGCGUGAGUAACCUGCCUCCGAGAGGGGAAUAACAAUCUGAAAAGAUUGCUAAUACCGCAUAAUAUAGCGAAGUCGCAUGGCAUUGCUAUCAAAGAUUUAUCGCUCGGAGAUGGACUCGCGUCCGAUUAGCUAGUUGGUGGGGUAACGGCCUACCAAGGCGACGAUCGGUAGCCGGACUGAGAGGUUGAACGGCCACAUUGGGACUGAGACACGGCCCAGACUCCUACGGGAGGCAGCAGUGGGGGAUAUUGCGCAAUGGGGGCAACCCUGACGCAGCAACGCCGCGUGAAGGAUGAAGGUUUCGGAUUGUAAACUUCUUUAUUAAGGACGAAAAAAUGACGGUACUUAAUAGAAUAAGCUCCGGCUAACUACGUG